AAAUUGAAGAGUUUGAUCAUGGCUCAGAUUGAACGCUGGCGGCAGGCCUAACACAUGCAAGUCGAACGGUAACAGGAAACAGCUUGCUGUUUCGCUGACGAGUGGCGGACGGGUGAGUAAUGUCUGGGAAACUGCCUGAUGGAGGGGGAUAACUACUGGAAACGGUAGCUAAUACCGCAUAACGUCGCAAGACCAAAGAGGGGGACCUUCGGGCCUCUUGCCAUCGGAUGUGCCCAGAUGGGAUUAGCUAGUAGGUGGGGUAACGGCUCACCUAGGCGACGAUCCCUAGCUGGUCUGAGAGGAUGACCAGCCACACUGGAACUGAGACACGGUCCAGACUCCUACGGGAGGCAGCAGUGGGGAAUAUUGCACAAUGGGCGCAAGCCUGAUGCAGCCAUGCCGCGUGUAUGAAGAAGGCCUUAGGGUUGUAAAGUACUUUCAGCGGGGAGGAAGGGAGUAAAGUUAAUACCUUUGCUCAUUGACGUUACCCGCAGAAGAAGCACCGGCUAACUCCGUGCCAGCAGCCGCGGUAAUACGGAGGGUGCAAGC
This 549-nucleotide ribosomal RNA is filed under the name Escherichia coli. RNAcentral describes it as "bacterial SSU rRNA". It matches the Rfam family "Bacterial small subunit ribosomal RNA", at positions 1 to 539 of the family's 1533-position model. The record is from RNAcentral. Lineage: Bacteria; Pseudomonadati; Pseudomonadota; Gammaproteobacteria; Enterobacterales; Enterobacteriaceae.